This 324-nucleotide ribosomal RNA is filed under the name uncultured eukaryote. RNAcentral describes it as "partial 18S ribosomal RNA". It matches the Rfam family "Eukaryotic small subunit ribosomal RNA", at positions 1470 to 1796 of the family's 1831-position model. The record is from RNAcentral.
CCCUUAGAUGCUCUGGGCCGCACGCGCGCUACACUGGUCGAUGCAACGAGUUUCUUUCCUUGGCCGACAGGCCUAGGCAAUCUUUGAACAUCGAUCGUGAUCGGGAUAGAUUCUUGUAAUUUUUGAUCUUAAACGAGGAAUUCCUAGUAAACGCAAGUCAUCAGCUUGCAUUGAUUACGUCCCUGCCCUUUGUACACACCGCCCGUCGCACCUACCGAUUGAAGAGUUAGGUGAAUUGUUUUGAUCGAUAAGAUUUGACUAUGGUCAACUCUCGUUGUGAAAUUCUGUGAAUCUGACUGUUUAGAGGAAGGAAAAGUCGUAACA